UCUGUCAAGUUUGAUAGCAGUUUCUUAUGUUUUACCGAAUUCUAUAUAGAAAAAAGUAAUCAACAUAAAAUGAGGGUCUCGCUCGUUGGUGGAAAUUAAUCCUCGGGUUCACAACACGAACUUACGACAGCCAUGCAACACUUAUCGUUCCUACUAGAUAAGACAAUCUUAUUUAGUUACAGCGGAACCAAUUAGGGUUGGUAAGAUUCUUCGAGGGUCAUCAAUUUGCACAACGUGCUCCACUGCUUGUAAGAGCCCCCGUCAAUUCCUUUGAGUUCCAACCUUGCGAUCGUAUACCCCAGGCAGAUUAUUUAACGCGUUAGCUGUAAGACCAGAAACAUUCCAAUCCUUAAUAAUCAUCGUUUACAGCGUGGACUAC
This 379-nucleotide unclassified non-coding RNA is filed under the name uncultured bacterium. RNAcentral describes it as "contains 16S-23S intergenic spacer region". The record is from RNAcentral.